CCGGCGCACGGGUGAGUAACGCGUAUCCAACCUGCCCAUCACUUGGGAUAACCCUUGCGAAAGUAAGACUAAUACCCAAUGACAUUUAUAGAAGGCAUCUGAAAGGGAUUAAAGAUUUAUCGGUGAUGGAUGGGGAUGCGUCUGAUUAGCUUGUUGGCGGGGUAACGGCCCACCAAGGCGACGAUCAGUAGGGGUUCUGAGAGGAAGGUCCCCCACAUUGGAACUGAGACACGGUCCAAACUCCUACGGGAGGCAGCAGUGAGGAAUAUUGGUCAAUGGGCGAGAGCCUGAACCAGCCAAGUAGCGUGCAGGAUGACGGCCCUAUGGGUUGUAAACUGCUUUUAUAGGGGAAUAAAGUGAUCCACGUGUGGUUUUUUGCAUGUACCUUAUGAAUAAGGACCGGCUAAUUCCGUGCCAGCAGCCGCGGUAAUACGGAAGGUCCGGGCGUUAUCCGGAUUUAUUGGGUUUAAAGGGAGCGUAGGCCGGAGAUUAAGCGUGUUGUGAAAUGUAGAUGCUCAACAUCUGAACUGCAGCGCGAACUGGUUUCCUUGAGUACGCAUAAAGUGGGCGGAAUUCGUGGUGUAGCGGUGAAAUGCUUAGAUAUCACGAAGAACUCCGAUUGCGAAGGCAGCUCACUGGGGCGCAACUGACGCUGAAGCUCGAAAGCGCGGGUAUCGAACAGGAUUAGAUACCCUGGUAGUCCGCGCGGUAAACGAUGGA
This 720-nucleotide ribosomal RNA is filed under the name uncultured bacterium. RNAcentral's name for it is "bacterial SSU rRNA". It matches the Rfam family "Bacterial small subunit ribosomal RNA", at positions 95 to 813 of the family's 1533-position model. The record is from RNAcentral.